GACGAACGCUGGCGGCGUGCCUAAUACAUGCAAGUCGAGCGAAGUUUUUCUGGUGCUUGCACUAGAAAAACUUAGCGGCGAACGGGUGAGUAACACGUAAAGAACCUGCCUCAUAGACUGGGACAACUAUUGGAAACGAUAGCUAAUACCGGAUAACAGUAUUUCUCGCAUGAGAGAUAUUUAAAAGUUGGUUAUGCUAACACUAUGAGAUGGCUUUGCGGUGCAUUAGCUAGUUGGUGGGGUAAAGGCCCACCAAGGCGACGAUGCAUAGCCGACCUGAGAGGGUGAUCGGCCACACUGGGACUGAGACACGGCCCAGACUCCUACGGGAGGCCGCAGUAGGGAAUCUUCCGCAAUGGGCGAAAGCCUGACGGAGCAACGCCGCGUGAGUGAAGAAGGAUUUCGGUUCGUAAAACUCUGUUGUUAGGGAAGAAUGGAUAUGUAGUAACUAUACAUGUAAGAGACGGUACCUAACCAGAAAGCCACGGCUAACUACGUG
This 499-nucleotide ribosomal RNA is filed under the name uncultured bacterium. RNAcentral describes it as "partial 16S ribosomal RNA". It matches the Rfam family "Bacterial small subunit ribosomal RNA", at positions 28 to 507 of the family's 1533-position model. The record is from RNAcentral.